AAGGGUGUUGGUCGAUUA
RNAcentral lists this small nuclear RNA (18 nucleotides) under Arabidopsis thaliana (thale cress). RNAcentral's name for it is "snRNA_14894". The record is from RNAcentral. Lineage: Eukaryota; Viridiplantae; Streptophyta; Magnoliopsida; Brassicales; Brassicaceae.